AGCGGGACGGGUACCGCCACGUGGCGACGAUGCGUAGGGGUUCUGAGAGGAAGGUCCCCCACACUGGUACUGAGACACGGACCAGACUCCUACGGAAGGCAGCAG
RNAcentral lists this ribosomal RNA (105 nucleotides) under uncultured bacterium. RNAcentral's name for it is "partial 16S ribosomal RNA". It matches the Rfam family "Bacterial small subunit ribosomal RNA", at positions 247 to 354 of the family's 1533-position model. The record is from RNAcentral.